Molecule: antisense RNA, 75 nt
Filed under: Streptomyces sp. NRRL F-6602
Lineage: Bacteria; Bacillati; Actinomycetota; Actinomycetes; Kitasatosporales; Streptomycetaceae
Description: ASpks sRNA
Rfam family: ASpks TB sRNA
Source: RNAcentral
CUUGAGCGCCCCCACCAGCAGCGGGGUGCCGCCGGACCGUUCCUGGCCGUAGGUGGCGAGGAGUGCCUGUGCCUC